GAUUAACGCUGGCGGCAUGCCUUAUGCAUGCAAGUAGAACGUGUCUCCGCAAGGCGAUCAGUUGCGAACGGCUGAGUAAUGGAUAGGAAUCUCCCCAAUGGUGUGGAAUACCCAAUCAAAAGAUGGGCUAAUACCGCAUACGACCUGAGGGUGAAAGCAGGGGAUCGCAAGAACUUGCGUUAUACGAGUGGCCGGUGUCAGAUGAGCUAGUUGGUGAGGUAAAGACUCACCAAGGCGACGAUCUGGAGCGGGUUUGAGAGGAUGAUCCGCCACACUGGGACUGAGAACCGGCCCAGACUCCUACAGGAGGCAGCAGUGGGGAAUUUUGGACAAUGGGGGCAACCCUGAUCCAGCCAUGCCGCGUGAGUGAGGAAGGCAUUCGGGUUGUAAGGCUCUUUCGGCCGGGAAGAAAUCGCACAGGCUAAUACACUGUGUGGAUGACGGUACCGGCAGAAGAAGCACCGGCUAACUUCGUGCCAGCCGCAGCGGUAA
RNAcentral lists this ribosomal RNA (492 nucleotides) under uncultured bacterium. RNAcentral's name for it is "partial 16S ribosomal RNA". It matches the Rfam family "Bacterial small subunit ribosomal RNA", at positions 28 to 523 of the family's 1533-position model. The record is from RNAcentral.